GCACUAAUCAAGUGUCACCGGACAAGUGGAAGGGUGUGCAAACCUGCAGAAAUCAUACAUUACUAUUUAAAGUUUUCAUUGUGUUUCCAGAUGUGGAUUGUACAUUACUACUAACUAAAUCCAGUUCCCCAAUUUAAAAGAAGUUUAUUAUUUUAAUCUGUAGAAUGUUGCCUCAUAACAAGGAUCCCUGAACUUUUUUUUGUAUUGUAUUUUUUUUUUUUUGAUAUUGUAUUAAUAUCUUGCAUGUAUAAUUAGCAAUUACUACAGCUGCACGACUGCACAUAAAUCAGCCCAGUUUGCAGUGUGCGUAUAAAUUAUACAUGUGUGGAUUCAAUAUGUGACCGAUAUUAAAGGGGUGAGGUGGCAUCAUGCACUGCCAUGGGCCUAUCUUUUUGCCAACCAGGAAGUAACAGCCACACAAUCAAUAAAAAGGCAUUAACCCCAUACAAAAAACAAAGGUCAUUGUCCCUAAAUAACUUAUUUACAUAAUAUCAGCCACAUAUACAAAUGAACGCUUUUUAUUCGAUUGGCAGCGUCUCUUUAACAAACCCAAACUCACAGAGACCACAGAAAGGAUUUUCAAAGAGAAUGACUAAUCUAGAAUAUAGAACUCACUGUUCACUUCCAUAAUUAUCCCUGAGGGUUAAUUACUGACUGUUAAGCUUAAAGCGAGAAGGCAUUUUCGUUAGCAGCAAAGGGCAAAUAAUUAGGUGCCUGCUUAUUUAUAAAAACACAUUUUAUAUUCUUAAAGGGGACUUAUAACUUAAUCAGUUGCAGAAGAGCAGCUUUAGGCUCAUGAUAGUAGCAGGGCAUAAACUACUUCAAUUCAGUCAUGAACUGAACUCCAAAAAACAAAUAAUAAUGUAAAAUUGUGAGCACUAUUGGGAAGCAUAACUAAAUGAAUUGUCCCUCGCUGCUUCCCUGGUCACAUUGUCUCACUGAACCCGAGAACUGAACAGGAAGUAUCAGUAGUCACUUCCUGCUCCAGCUUUUGCCAGUCUUUCCAGCCCUGUCCUAGACUGAACAGCAAGAGGUGCUCCAGUUAAACAUUUAUUAUAUUAACAGUAAAAACACUGCUCAUAUCUACUGGCAAGCGAAAGCCAUGUAUUCCUGUAAAGCAGAGCACAGCCAUGAACUUUCCUUCCCCCAGGGGGCGCUGUUUACUAAUGUGUAUCGAUCCGUGGAACCGGCUGGCUGAAAGCAACCUAUGAAGGCAAAACGGGAUUAAUUCCAGAAAACUAUGUCAUCUACUUGUAACAAUGACCGCAGGCAUCCAUAUUUUCAUGGUAUCCAUGGUGACUUAUGAAAAACUACGUUUUUAUCUGACACAGAUAUAGUGACCGGGCCAACGGCGCAGCGCAGGCAGUGGCCUAUGGCUUCCAUUGGGACAAUUUGUGCGAGUGAAAGACUGAUACAUUGCUCUGUGCCUCUGUGCCAAUGGAAAAGAAUUGCAAGUAGGGUGUGAAAAGCAUUGCCAGUGGUUACUUAUAUAUAUGGGAGCUGCGGGCAAAUGGGGUUACCUGCAGUAAAGGCCAUGGCAUGUAUAAAGUGGUACAGAUUGUAAGAUUUAUAUAUACAGUGGAGGAAAUAAUUAUUUGACCCCUC
This is a long non-coding RNA of Xenopus tropicalis (tropical clawed frog), 1605 nucleotides long. RefSeq lists it as uncharacterized. NCBI's taxonomy places the organism in Eukaryota, Metazoa, Chordata, Amphibia, Anura, Pipidae. The record is from RefSeq and is a predicted model, not a curated record. The transcript has 3 exons.